Molecule: ribosomal RNA, 253 nt
Filed under: uncultured bacterium
Lineage: Bacteria
Description: partial 16S ribosomal RNA
Rfam family: Bacterial small subunit ribosomal RNA
Source: RNAcentral
UACGAAGGGGGCUAGCGUUGCUCGGAAUCACUGGGCGUAAAGCGCACGUAGGCGGGUCGUUAAGUCGGGGGUGAAAUCCUGGAGCUCAACUCCAGAACUGCCUUCGAUACUGGCGAUCUUGAGUCUGGUAGAGGUGAGUGGAACUCCGAGUGUAGAGGUGAAAUUCGUAGAUAUUCGGAAGAACACCAGUGGCGAAGGCGGCUCACUGGCCCGGUACUGACGCUGAGGUGCGAAAGCGUGGGGAGCAAACAGG